RNAcentral lists this ribosomal RNA (1211 nucleotides) under metagenome. RNAcentral describes it as "bacterial SSU rRNA". It matches the Rfam family "Archaeal small subunit ribosomal RNA", at positions 232 to 1445 of the family's 1478-position model. The record is from RNAcentral.
GUAGUGGGUGUAGCGUACCUACUAGCCUACGACGGGUACGGGUUGUGAGAGCAAGAGCCCGGAGAUGGAUUCUGAGACACGAAUCCAGGCCCUACGGGGUGCAGCAGGCGCGAAAACUUUACAAUGCUGGAAACAGCGAUAAGGGGACCUCGAGUGCCAGGUUACAAAUCUGGCUGUCGUGAUGCCUAAAAAGCAUUGCAUAGCAAGGGCCGGGCAAGACCGGUGCCAGCCGCCGCGGUAACACCGGCGGCUCGAGUGGUAACCGUUAUUAUUGGGUCUAAAGGGUCUGUAGCCGGCCGGAUAAGUCUCUUGGGAAAUCCAGCAGCUCAACUGUUGGGCUUUCAGGAGAUACUGUCUGGCUCGAGGCCGGGAGAGGUGAGAGGUACUUCAGGGGUAGGGGUGAAAUCUUGUAAUCCUUGAAGGACCACCAGUGGCGAAGGCGUCUCACCAGAACGGACCUGACGGCAAGGGACGAAAGCUAGGGGCACGAACCGGAUUAGAUACCCGGGUAGUCCUAGCCGUAAACGAUACUCGCUAGGUGUCGGCCACGGUGCGACCGUUGUCGGUGCCGUAGGGAAGCCGUGAAGCGAGCCACCUGGGAAGUACGGCCGCAAGGCUGAAACUUAAAGGAAUUGGGGGGGAGCACCACAACGGGUGGAGCUUGCGGUUUAAUUGGAUUCAACGCCGGAAAUCUUACCGGGACCGACAGCAAUAUGAAGGCCAGGCUGAGGACUUUGCCGGAUUAGCUGAGAGGUGGUGCAUGGCCGUCGUCAGUUCGUACUGUGAAGCAUCCUGUUAAGUCAGGCAACGAGCGAGACCCACGCCCACAGUUGCCAGCGUACUCUCCGGAGUGACGGGUACACUGUGGGGACCGCCGCUGCUAAAGCGGAGGAAGGAAUGGGCAACGGUAGGUCAGUAUGCCCCGAAUAUCCCGGGCUACACGCGAGCUACAAUGGUUGGUACAAUGGGUAUCUGCCCCGAAAGGGGAUGGAAAUCUCCUAAAGCCAAUCUUAGUUCGGAUUGAGGGCUGCAACUCGCCCUCAUGAAGCUGGAAUCCGUAGUAAUCGCGUUUCAACAGAACGCGGUGAAUACGUCCCUGCUCCUUGCACACACCGCCCGUCAAACCACCCGAGUAGGGUCUGAAUGAGAGCGCUUCCUUCGGAGGCGUUCGAAUUUGGGCUUUGCAAGGGGGGUUAAGUCGUAACAAGGUA